GUCACUUCCUUGAUACGCUUCGAUCACACGGGCAAGAGGCCAUUCUCCCCUACUUGCUUUGGGUUCAGCAAUCAAUACCACAUCGCCUUGUUUCAGGUUAUGUUUGGGAUGAAACCAUUUCUUGCUUACAUUAAGACGUGGUAGAAACUCCUUUCUCCAGCGCUUCCAGAACAGCUGUAACAAUUGUUGUACUCGAUGCCAGCGAUUCCUAGGGUUGUUCGCUUCAACUUGAUCAAGAGCUUCAGGAGCAAAUACCCCACCGAUCUGUCCGACUAUAAAAUGAUUUGGAGUAAGUGGGGACGGGUCGUUUGGAUCUGAACUCACAUAAGUGAUGGGCCGUGAGUUUACCAGACUUUCAGCUCCACACAUUGCGGUCUGAAGUUCUUCAUCCGUCACAUCUGCAUCUCCUAGGACGAUUUUUAUUGCCUUCUUGGCGCUCUUUAUCAUAGCCUCGAAAAUCCCUCCAAAAUGAGGGGCCGAUGGAGGAUUGAAUUUCCAUUCAAUAGGUUGAUACUUGGUGGUUUCUUGGGCAAUUUUGUCCUGGUUAAAAGCUUGAACUAAUUCUCUCAUCUCCCGCUCUGCGCCCACGAAAUUGGUCCCAUUGUCCGAUAUAACAUAUACGGGCGUCCCCCUCCUCGAUACCAUUCGCGUAAAGGCAUUGAUGAAGGAAGCCGUGUCUAAUGAGUAUGACAUCUCAAGGUGAACAGCUCUUGUCGCUAGACAAGUAAAUAGGCAUAGGUAUCUCUUUGCUUUGGCUUUGCCUCGUCCUUGCUUCGUUAGAAAUGGGCCUCCAUAAUCCACUCCGACUCUUUCGAAAGCUCGUAACGAUUGAAGUCGCGGUCUGGGCAGCGGUGCCAUCUUCUGCUCGGCUGUUUUUACAGAAAAACGUCGUCGACAUUGCGCACAUGACUCAACGAUAUUCCUUACCGCGCGUCUUCCUUUUACGAUCCAGAAACGACUGCGUAGCAGUGUUAGAACCUGCUCAACUCCGGAACCAUGUCCGAGUUCUUCAUGUGCAUCCUUGAUGAUGAGUCGGGUCACCACGUGCUCUUUUGGCAAUAAAAUGGGGUGUUUUGUGUUGUAGGAUAGUUCAUCCGCAAGUCUUAAACGUCCGUCCAUCCUCAGAAGACCAUCGUCACCGUUCUUUGGACUAAGUCGCAGUAAACAUCCUUCUCGCUCUCCUUUCGGGAAAGCUUCUCGUUGCGCUUGUUUGAUCCACCACUUUUCCACAUUAAGUAUUUCAGUUGAACAAAGCGUUCUGUCUCGUUUUCGUAAUUCCCUUGGAAGUCUGCAGUUUGUAACGAAUCGUUGAACCCAUCCAGUCACACGACAAAGGCGACGGAAGGUAGAAAAAUGGUUUGGAUCAACGCCCAGGUUAACGCGCGCCUGGACCAUGUACGUCUGUGCCACUGUCUUUUCAAUAUCUUCAACUUUCGUCUCCUCUCUAACGGAAGGCGCUGAUGGCCCCGAGAUCUCGACAUCUUUCAAGAACGAUGGUCCUUCCAACCAAAAUGUGCUUUUGGCUAGUUCCAUAGCAGAUUGACCUCGGGUCGCUAGAUCUGCUGGAUUCUGUAUCCCAGGUACAUGCCUCCAUUGCUCGGGACUCGUCGUCCGUUGAAUUUCUGCGAUACGGUUGGCUACGAAGGGUUUAAACUGCCGGCUGUGGUUUCGUACCCAAUACCACACAUUCUCGGAGUCAGUCCAAAAGAUCACUCGAUCGACAGUCAAGACUUUCAGAAGACUUUGAGCUAAACGGCUUGAGAGAAUGGCACCCAUAAGCUCCAGUCUGGGAAUCGUCAUCGCUUUGGUGGGGGCUACACGGCACUUUGAUGCGACAAGGCGUGAUGUAGGGCUAUCGUCUUCAUAUUGGCACACCAAAUAAGCGACUGAUGCGUAGGCGUCUUUAGAGGCAUCCGAGAACAGGUGUAGUUCCAUUUUAUUCGGGUUUGCGAGGCGUAAGCAGCGUGGUAUGGCGACAUGCGAUAACUGCGAAAGUUCUGUAGCCCAGUUCUUCCACUUAGUUGCUAGAUCACUUGGAAGGUUGUCAUCCCAAUCCAACCCUGCUCUCCAAAUCUCCUGCAUGAGAAUUUUAGCCCGAACAAGGAAUGGCGAGAGAAACUGAAGGGGGUCGUAUACAGCAGCUAUGGCGCUCAGAACAUUACGUUUCGUAGGGGUUUUAUUCGCAUCAGGAGGUUCCACUCUGAAGGUAAAUACAUCUCUUUCAGGAUCCCACAAGACUCCCAGAGUCUUGGUUUUAGACGGCUCUUCUUUGUUAAUUUCAACAGCAGAUAACCGGUCACUCUCGGGGAUGCUUGCGACAACUGAUGGCUCGUUCGACGACCAUUUCCGCAGCCGAAAACCUGCCAGACCCAACAGGUCAGAUAACUGGCGUCGCAGAUCCUGGGCACUCUCUAUAGUCUCGCUUGAAUCUAAGACAUCGUCAACAUACAUCGAGUUAUCGACCGAUUCUGCUGCCGCUGGGAAUGUCUCUGUAUGUGCUUGAGCGUGGGCGUGUAUUACAUACUGUGCGCAGAAUGGCGAGGCAGUAUUACCAAACAACAGGCGUCGAAACUCGUAUACGUCGGGCUCUCUUGAAGGAUCGAAAUCUCGCCAUAAGAAUCUGUGGAAGGGACGAUCUUUGUCUUGUAGACCAACUUGCAGGAACAUUUCAGAAAUGUCUGCGCUCAAAGCAACUGGUGCUCGACGAAAGCGGGUGAGAACAUCUACUAUUUCUCGUUGUAGUUUCGGACCUGGCCGUAUGCUGUCAUUUAAGCUCUUUCCGUCAUGCUUCAUUGCCGCGUCGAAGACAACACGAACUUUAGUCGUAUCUUUGCUUGGCUUAAUGACCGGAAAAUGUGGGAGGAACCACUGCUGUUCUACUUCGGACUUGGGUACUUUCUGAAUGUAGCCUUUUUUCUCAUAGUCCUUGAAUACUUUACUGUAGGCUUCCAGGAUGCUAGGAUCUUUCUUUCUGAGGGAUUUCUCUUGACUUUGGAGUCUUAAUAACGCCGCUUCGUAAUUGUUAGUCAACUUCGGCUCUCCGUCCUUCCAAGGGAUUCCUACCUCGUACAAACCAUUCUCAAACUUUAGGGAUCCAGCUACAGUUGCAGUUGCUGCUCUUUCGUCGGCUGUCAUAGCCUGUUUCUCAGACGUUUCUUUGAUUCCGAGUGCCUCAAGCUCCCAGAACUUGCGUAGAAUGUCGUCCGGUGGUGGUUGCUGGUCGACAUGGCAGGUACGGUACGUGCGUGUGAAGUGGGAACGAGAGUUACGCCGAAACUCGUUGACCAACGUUGGCCCGAAACAAACCCAGCCCAAGUUCGUUAGGCGUGCUACGGGAUCACUUGGUUGGCUGCCGCGAAUCUCUUCUAAUACGUAGUGGAAUACUGGAUUAUCGCUGCCAAGCAUGACAUCAAUCUGCUGUCGCCUGGAAACAUUGUCGAAAGGGAUCUUCUGCAGGUGAGGCCACUUUUCCUUGAGUUCUGACCACUGUAUGGCUGGUGUGUCGCUCGCAAUGUUAUCUAACACAUGUGCUUGGACAGGUGUCGUAAAUGACCUAUCUAGACUAGUCACAUUUAGUUCCACUCGGCGGGAUCUUUUCUGGAUCUCGAUGCCCCCUGUUCCUGCAAUCGUAAGGUUUACGUUUUGUCCAUGCAACUCAAGCUCUUCUGCUGCUUCCUCUGAUACAUAGGAACUGGUCGAACAGGGGUCAAGCAUUACAUUGACCUUUAACUCUCUGUUUCCAUUACUAAUCAGGGCAGGUAUUACCAUUAAAGAGACGUUCUCUACUUUAGUUGUAUUAUGUGUUCUUUCUUGGGGCUGGAAAUUGGUUGGUGGCAGAUUGUCAUCACGUGUCUUAUCAUUACGAGGAGCCUCUCUAUUUUGGUUCGAUUGUCCUGGGGGAACGUAUGUCGGUGCAUCAGGUCGUAAGUGUCCUCCCACGUCGUCCUUGUGUUUUGGAGGGCUUACAUGAAGGUAACUGCUGUGGCCUUUACUCAGGCACCCAUCAACACCACAUUGUCUCCUUUUGGUGCAAUCUUUGCUUCGAUGUCCAGCAGCCAGACAACAAUAACAGCGUCCAGCCUUAGUAAUUAAUUCUUUUCUCUUUAGGACGGGUAGAUCUUUGAAAGCUUUACAAACCCACGGGGGGUGAUCCUCUUUACAGUUUGGAACAAUACAACAUCGCGUUGUGAAUCUAGUAUUGAAGCCUCGAAAGCGUUUCUUCUGUUCAACACGGUUGUCCGUCUUUUUUCCAAUGCCAUUCGUUUCUUCUUUCGCCUCUUCCAUAACUUGCACUCGUAAUUCAACCCAUUCUUCAAGUGCUUCAAAAUUGUCUUCACGCGAGUGGUCCAUCAGCCAAUAUUUGUAAGCUUGCACGUCUUCUUCUGGUAGUUUCUCUUUAACUGUUAAAUUCAAGCUCUGUCCAUGCAAUGGUCCUGAAUCCUGAGUGGCGAUCAAUACUCUUUCUAAUAGAACUUGAAACUCUUCCAUAUCUUCCAGAUUUCGAGGACGAAUUUUCCGGAAAUUGCGCAAAGCUGUUAGGUGUUUUAUCUGUAAACGUCUCUCCCCUCCGUACUUCUUCUCCAAUUUAGCCUUCGCUCUUUCAUACGCAUUAAGGGAAUACCCGAGAUCUUUCACCAUGGUUAAAGCUUUACCCGACAAACAGCCUUGUAGUCUAAGCAUUUUUUCUCCGACAGGAAUAUCACGACGAUUGACAACAGACAGGAAUGCUGCCUUCCAGGAUUCAUAGUCACUUUUUUCUUCGCCAGAGAAGAUAGGGAGAUCCACUCCUUUAAGUCUAAUGGGAGAAAAUGUCUGUCUUUGUUCUUUGUUUUCAUUGGGUAGCUCUGAAUGUUUUUCUAAGUGACGGUUAAUAAGGAAGUUCUGUACUGUAUCAUUAUCCGAUACUUGCGAUCUUCGUUCGGCUUCUUCAGCCCGGGAUUUGUUGAGAGCAGCAACUUUCCUUGCAUCAUCGGUUCGCUGUUUUGUCAGCUGCAGCUCAGCGGUCAGCUUUUGGAUCUCUAGCUCCUUUACUCGCUGUUCGUUUUCCAUUUGGAUUAGCCUUUCACUAGCCUCCUUUGCCUCUUUUUGUUUCUGUUCCACAUUUGAGGAUUUUUUCGACAUAACUGGAGACUGGGGACUAGUUUCUUGUGAUCGAAGUGAAUUUAACACUGAGUCAGUUUCUCCAUUGCCAAGUCUUUCCUCGAGAUGUUGUUCAGCCAUUACAAUUAUUGAAUCGACUGAAGACCCGAUGUCUUCAAGUUCUUUGUCUAAAGUCUCGAUAACUGUGUUGGUCUCCUCAUUUUCAGCACUCACAGCAUAAAUCUCUUUUAAGCCAGAAAUAAUUUUUUCAAUAAUACUGAUCUCGGAAUUAACUUUAUUAAUAGCUCUUCUUAU
This 5394-nucleotide long non-coding RNA is filed under the name Paramuricea clavata. Lineage: Eukaryota; Metazoa; Cnidaria; Anthozoa; Malacalcyonacea; Plexauridae. The record is from RNAcentral.